Long non-coding RNA from Panicum virgatum (switchgrass), 339 nucleotides. RefSeq lists it as uncharacterized. NCBI's taxonomy places the organism in Eukaryota, Viridiplantae, Streptophyta, Magnoliopsida, Poales, Poaceae. The record is from RefSeq and is a predicted model, not a curated record. The transcript has 3 exons.
AGGCCACCAAGAAGGAGGUCAAGGACAUCUUUCGGCCGCUAUGACCGCACCCUCCUCGUCGCCGACCCCAGGCGCUGCGAGCCCAAGAAGUUUGGUGGGCGCGGAGGGGUCGGGCGAGAUAGGCCAACAAGUGCACUUGAAUGCUGGAUCUAGGCAAAUGCUUCCAUACUAGGAACAAUACUCUAAUGAAACAUCGAGUUGCUCCAGAACAAUAACAAUGCACAAGACGGAAUUUUCUGACCCAAAUCUUAAGCUGGCCAUCAGUUUUUAACUCAGGAGAGCUGCAUGUUAUAUUGAAAAGUAGGAAACGCCCAGAGGGGCGAAGGUAAAAUUUACAAG